RNAcentral lists this ribosomal RNA (495 nucleotides) under uncultured bacterium. RNAcentral's name for it is "partial 16S ribosomal RNA". It matches the Rfam family "Bacterial small subunit ribosomal RNA", at positions 28 to 507 of the family's 1533-position model. The record is from RNAcentral.
GACGAACGCUGGCGGCGUGCCUAAUACAUGCAAGUAGAACGCUGAAGGAGGAGCUUGCUCUUCUGGACGAGUUGCGAACGGGUGAGUAACGCGUAGGUAACCUGCCUGGUAGCGGGGGAUAACUAUUGGAAACGAUAGCUAAUACCGCAUAACAGUAGAUGUUGCAUGACAUUUGCUUAAAAGGUGCAAUUGCACCACUACCAGAUGGACCUGCGUUGUAUUAGCUAGUUGGUGGGGUAACGGCUCACCAAGGCGACGAUACAUAGCCGACCUGAGAGGGGGAUCGGCCACACUGGGACUGAGACACGGCCCAGACUCCUACGGGAGGCAGCAGUAGGGAAUCUUCGGCAAUGGACGGAAGUCUGACCGAGCAACGCCGCGUGAGUGAAGAAGGUUUUCGGAUCGUAAAGCUCGGUUGUAAGAGAAGAACGAGUGUGAGAGUGGAAAGUUCACACUGUGACGGUAUCUUACCAGAAAGGGACGGCUAACUACGUG